Long non-coding RNA from Cuculus canorus (common cuckoo), 1654 nucleotides. RefSeq lists it as uncharacterized. The record is from RefSeq and is a predicted model, not a curated record. Lineage: Eukaryota; Metazoa; Chordata; Aves; Cuculiformes; Cuculidae. The transcript has 3 exons.
AACCUCACUAACUGCAACUUGUUGCUAAAAGAUGCUGUUCAAAUUACUGAAACUUGUAAAUCAGCGUGUAAAGAAGCAAACCGAGCAAGUGGUUUUCAAACAGUUGUCGGGAUCCUAAUUCUUCUGAUCUAAAGAGAUAUAUUUUAUGUUUCCUUUUUGCUGAUGAAUGCAAAGCAAAUAUUAACUGAUUAUGCUUCAACGUAACCAUCAUUUUAUAGGGGAGCGCUGAAGAGCAGACAGAAAGGAGUUGUUUGUUUUUACCAGGGCAACCAAGAGCUUUUCCGUGUCUAUGUUUAAUGAAUGAAUCAACCUACUUUAGCACACAAUUGCUUAGAUCAAUAAUUAUUCAGGAAACAACACUGCCUUGGGAAAAUCUAUAGUAAUAAAAAAGAAAUCUGGAUGGGCUGAAUAACCUUUUCAAGCAGAUAUUUAUCUCUAAAUGAAGUUAUUUUUUGUAAAGUUUCUAUUGUUUAGAAAAUGCAUUAUUGGAUGGUUAAAAAAUAAUCAGAUUGUUAGUGCUGAGAGUCUGGAGUUCAGGGUGGGAGGGAAACAAAGCAUUAAUAGGUGGUAUUCCCAGAUGUAUGGCUGGGGAGAUUGUUAGGUUUUAAGGAUAAAGUCAAAGUGGCACUAUGAGCUGAAUCUAUGCAUCUGUACUCUAGUGACAACUGUUACCAUUACCAAUACGAACAGAUAGCAGGUUCUAAUUAAAGUUACAAGCCAGAGGGAAUAGGCAUUAAGAAAGAAAAAGAAUAAUUCGCUGAAUAAAUUGCACUUGAUUUACUAGUUCACAAAAAAGGUCUAAAAAUUAGUAUCUGAAAUUACUUUAAAUACAGCAUCUAUCAAACCACAGAACAAUAAUCAAGUCAACCUAAUUAGAACACUUAUAACUAUAAGCAGCAUGUAGCAUGUUCUUAUCUUGACGUGAGGAGACCAAGUAGUCCCCUAAGUGCCAGUUAAUCUACAACAAACUUUUGCUGAGACCUGGAAGAAACCCCUUGCAGCAGCUACCUGCUUACUUUAGAUGUCACACGAUCCAGCCUGUAGAUCCUUGUGCUCUCUGCAUCUGCAUUAAGAGGAACUUCUGAGUGCACAUCCUGAGCUGGAUCAUGAGAGGUCCUCAGCAAAUUGCACAGCGCUUUGUAGUAGUUUUGUUAAUAGAUGUGUGUUAUGUAUCAGUGUCACUUCUACUAACGCUUGCUUACUUUCUCUUCAGGAUUCAUUCUCUAAAUAGGAGACAAACAUUGUCUUUGGAGGUAUACAGCUUUUAGGAGCGGACGUGGACCAGAUUCCUUAAAUGAUGCUGAGGAGUAUGAUACAGUCUGUAUUACCAGCGCCUCUGAACACUUAACACUGCCUUGGGCCGUGGCAGUGUUGAUUUUUAUCCCCAACUCAAUGCAAUGCUGGAUGCCGACGUGUGGCGUAGUUGUGGAGCGGAGACCCAGCAUCCCAGCAGCAUCCAUACAUCUGGGCUCCUUAUGGCACUGGGCAGUCCUACAGCAAGACCCUUGCUCACCGAAACGGAAUUAAUAUAACUGGACUGAAGUUACAAGGAAGAAUUGAACUGAGCCAGUAGGGUUAACACUGCUGCUAACAGGAGGUUACUAACCAUGAGAGAAUUACAGCUCUUCUGAAAGACAGUGCCUAAAAUAGCAGC